AUAAAUUCAUGGGAUAUUUAUAGAUCAAAACUUCAUCUUCUUGAUAAUUAAAUAUAUCAAGAAGAUACACAAAACCUCCUUUCAUGGAGAUCAAAUUCAAAUAUUUCUACGUUCAAAAAAUACACCACUAACGACCCUCGAAUUACAGAGAAAUCCAUAUCAAAUCCUAUGUUCGAGAAAUACACUACUGACAGCCCUUGAAUUAUGAAGAAAAUCAAGAGAGAAGAAUCCCUCAAAUUAUGAAGAAAUCCAUAUCAAAUCCUACAUUCAAGAAAUACACUACUGACAGCCCUCGAACUAUGGAGAAAAUCAAGAGAGAAGAAUCAAGAGAGAAACAGAUUUGUACCCAC
Molecule: long non-coding RNA, 350 nt
Filed under: Capsicum annuum
Lineage: Eukaryota; Viridiplantae; Streptophyta; Magnoliopsida; Solanales; Solanaceae
Description: long non-coding RNA (CANN_LNC012301)
Source: RNAcentral